UCCUCCCUCUUUCUUCGUGCCUCCUCCCUGCACGUCGACCGCGAGCGCCCGGUGCUUGCACUGGUCAAUCUAGUGGCGAACGGGUGAGUAACACGUGGGUAACCUGCCCAUCAGAGGGGGAUAACAUUCGGAAACGGAUGCUAAAACCGCAUAGGUCCUUUAACCGCAUGGUUGAAGGAGGAAAAGCGGCGCAAGCUUCUGCUGAUGGAUGGACCCGCGGUGCAUUAGCUAGUUGGUGAGGUAACGGCUCACCAAGGCCGUGAUGCAUAGCCGACCUGAGAGGGUGAUCGGCCACAUUGGGACUGAGACACGGCCCAAACUCCUACGGGAGGCAGCAGUAGGGAAUCUUCCGCAAUGGACGCAAGUCUGACGGAGCAACGCCGCGUGAGUGAAGAAGGUUUUCGGAUCGUAAAACUCUGUGGUUAGAGAAGAACAAGUGCUAGAGUAACUGUUAGCGCCUUGACGGUAUCUAACCAGAAAGCCACGGCUAACUACGUG
This 498-nucleotide ribosomal RNA is filed under the name uncultured bacterium. RNAcentral describes it as "partial 16S ribosomal RNA". It matches the Rfam family "Bacterial small subunit ribosomal RNA", at positions 36 to 507 of the family's 1533-position model. The record is from RNAcentral.